This 72-nucleotide transfer RNA is filed under the name Ornithorhynchus anatinus (platypus). It matches the Rfam family "tRNA". Rfam says of the family: Transfer RNA (tRNA) molecules are approximately 80 nucleotides in length. Lineage: Eukaryota; Metazoa; Chordata; Mammalia; Monotremata; Ornithorhynchidae. The record is from Rfam by way of RNAcentral.
GUCGGCGUGGCUUAGCGGCAAGAGCCCGGGCUUGGGAGUCAGAGGUCGUGGGUUCGAAUCCCGCCUCCGCCC